Molecule: ribosomal RNA, 305 nt
Filed under: uncultured bacterium
Lineage: Bacteria
Description: bacterial SSU rRNA
Rfam family: Bacterial small subunit ribosomal RNA
Source: RNAcentral
UCCCUACGGGGGGCAGCAGUGGGGAAUAUUGCGCAAUGGGGGAAACCCUGACGCAGCAACGCCGCGUGAGUGAGGAAGUAUCUCGGUAUGUAAAGCUCUAUCAGCGGGGAAGAAAGAGGACGGUACCCGACUAAGAAGCCCCGGCUAACUACGUGCCAGCAGCCGCGGUAAUACGUAGGGGGCAAGCGUUAUCCGGAUUUACUGGGUGUAAAGGGAGCGCAGGCGGUAUGGCAAGUCAGAUGUGAAAACCCAGGGCUCAACCCUGGGACUGCAUUUGAAACUGCCAUACUGGAGUGCCGGAGAGG